Molecule: ribosomal RNA, 678 nt
Filed under: uncultured Bacteroidales bacterium
Lineage: Bacteria; Pseudomonadati; Bacteroidota; Bacteroidia; Bacteroidales
Description: bacterial SSU rRNA
Rfam family: Bacterial small subunit ribosomal RNA
Source: RNAcentral
CAAACCAAAGCUGGCGACCGGCGCACGGGUGAGUAACACGUAUCCAACCUACCUCAUACUCGGGGAUAGCCUUUCGAAAGAAAGAUUAAUAUCCGAUAGCAUAUAUUUCCCGCAUGGGUUUUAUAUUAAAGAAAUUCGGUAUGAGAUGGGGAUGCGUUCCAUUAGUUUGUUGGGGGGGUAACGGCCCACCAAGACUACGAUGGAUAGGGGUUCUGAGAGGAAGGUCCCCCACAUUGGAACUGAGACACGGUCCAAACUCCUACGGGAGGCAGCAGUGAGGAAUAUUGGUCAAUGGACGCGAGUCUGAACCAGCCAAGUAGCGUGAAGGAUGACUGCCCUAUGGGUUGUAAACUUCUUUUAUAUGGGAAUAAAGUGGUCCACGUGUGGACUUUUGUAUGUACCAUAUGAAUAAGGAUCGGCUAACUCCGUGCCAGCAGCCGCGGUAAUACGGAGGAUCCGAGCGUUAUCCGGAUUUAUUGGGUUUAAAGGGAGCGUAGGCGGAUUGUUAAGUCAGUUGUGAAAGUUUGCGGCUCAACCGUAAAAUUGCAGUUGAUACUGGCAGUCUUGAGUGCAGUAGAGGUGGGCGGAAUUCGUGGUGUAGCGGUGAAAUGCUUAGAUAUCACGAAGACUCCGAUUGCGAAGGCAGCUCACUGGAGUGUAACUGACGCUGAUGCUCGA